RNAcentral lists this ribosomal RNA (253 nucleotides) under uncultured bacterium. Its description in RNAcentral is "partial 16S ribosomal RNA". It matches the Rfam family "Bacterial small subunit ribosomal RNA", at positions 524 to 776 of the family's 1533-position model. The record is from RNAcentral.
UACGUAGGGGGCUAGCGUUGUCCGGAAUCAUUGGGCGUAAAGAGCGUGUAGGCGGUCCGGUAAGUCCGUUGUGAAAGUCAGGGGCUCAACCCUUGAAUGCCGGCGGAUACUGUCGGGCUAGAGUCCGGAAGAGGCAAGUGGAAUUCCCGGUGUAGCGGUGAAAUGCGCAGAUAUCGGGAGGAACACCGGUGGCGAAGGCGGUUCUCUGGGCAUUACCUGACGCUGAGGAGCGAAAGUGUGGGGAGCGAACAGG